RNAcentral lists this ribosomal RNA (372 nucleotides) under uncultured organism. Its description in RNAcentral is "partial 16S ribosomal RNA". It matches the Rfam family "Bacterial small subunit ribosomal RNA", at positions 527 to 896 of the family's 1533-position model. The record is from RNAcentral.
GUAGGUGGCAAGCGUUGUCCGGAAUUAUUGGGCGUAAAGCGCGCGCAGGGCGGUCCUUUAAGUCUGAUGUGAAAGCCCACGGCUCAACCGUGGAGGGUCAUUGGAAACUGGGGGACUUGAGUACAGAAGAGGAAAGCGGAAUUCCGAGUGUAGCGGUGAAAUGCGUAGAGAUUUGGAGGAACACCAGUGGCGAAGGCGGCUUUCUGGUCUGUAACUGACGCUGAGGCGCGAAAGCGUGGGGAGCAAACAGGAUUAGAUACCCUGGUAGUCCACGCCGUAAACGAUGAGUGCUAAGUGUUAGGGGGUUUCCGCCCCUUAGUGCUGCAGCUAACGCAUUAAGCACUCCGCCUGGGGAGUACGGCCGCAAGGCUG